UCCGGUUUGGCACCGGCAGUCUCCCACGAGCUGACGACAGCCAUGCACCACCUGUGUUCCCGUUCCCUUUCGGGCACAGCCGGGUUUCCCCAGCCUCCAGGACAUGUCAAGGGUAGGUAAGGUUUUUCGCGUUGCAUCGAAUUAAUCCACAUAAUCCACCGCUUGUGCGGGUCCCCGUCAAUUCCUUUGAGUUUUAACCUUGCGGCCGUACUCCCCAGGCGGUCGACUUCACGCGUUAGCUUCGUUACUGAGAGUGUCAAACCCCCAACAACCAGUCGACAUCGUUUAGGGCGUGGACUAC
This 301-nucleotide unclassified non-coding RNA is filed under the name uncultured Gammaproteobacteria bacterium. Its description in RNAcentral is "contains 16S-23S intergenic spacer region". Lineage: Bacteria; Pseudomonadati; Pseudomonadota; Gammaproteobacteria. The record is from RNAcentral.